This 492-nucleotide ribosomal RNA is filed under the name uncultured bacterium. RNAcentral describes it as "partial 16S ribosomal RNA". It matches the Rfam family "Bacterial small subunit ribosomal RNA", at positions 29 to 507 of the family's 1533-position model. The record is from RNAcentral.
AGUGAACGCUGGCGGUAGGCCUAACACAUGCAAGUCGAACGGCAGCACAGUAAGAGCUUGCUCUUACGGGUGGCGAGUGGCGGACGGGUGAGGAAUACGUCGGAAUCUACUUUUUCGUGGGGGAUAACGUGGGGAAACUUACGCUAAUACCGCAUACGACCUACGGGUGAAAGCAGGGGAUCUUCGGACCUUGGGCGAUUGAAUGAGCCGAUGUCGGAUUAGCUAGUUGGCGGGGUAAAGGCCCACCAAGGCGACGAUCCGUAGCUGGUCUGAGAGGAUGAUCAGCCACACUGGAACUGAGACACGGUCCAGACUCCUACGGGAGGCAGCAGUGGGGAAUAUUGGACAAUGGGCGCAAGCCUGAUCCAGCCAUACCGCGUGGGUGAAGAAGGCCUUCGGGUUGUAAAGCCCUUUUGUUGGGAAAGAAAAGCAGCAGGUUAAUACCCCGCUGUUCUGACGGUACCCAAAGAAUAAGCACCGGCUAACUUCGUG